Cheilinus undulatus (humphead wrasse) is the source of this 860-nucleotide long non-coding RNA. RefSeq lists it as uncharacterized. The record is from RefSeq and is a predicted model, not a curated record. Lineage: Eukaryota; Metazoa; Chordata; Actinopteri; Labriformes; Labridae. The transcript is spliced from 7 exons.
AUUUGAGCACCUGCAGUCACAGUCAGUCUCUUUCUGAUUUCUCCUCCACACAGUUGUGCUGCAAGCAGAGGUCAUCCCACCCAUCAUGAAGCACACAGAUGGGUUGUCUGAUUGGAGCCCAGAUAUACAGUGAUUUGUCUCUGCACAAACAGUGGCAGGACUCAGGAGUGUUGUUAGGAGUUGAUGGCGCUGGUAGUGUGUGAAGUCUGAGCUCUGGCUGUGCGUCAGCGUUUACCCCAGCAGGGUUGUGCUCACAUUGAACGCUGAGGCAGCCAGUCCAGUGAUGGGUAAAAACCCUCUGCUGCAGAGCAGGCAUUCCUCUGAGCUCAGAGGAGGACUGUGGAUCGAGUGGGAAACGGGGAUGAGAGCAGGGGAGAGACAUGCCCGUGACCCCCAAAAUAAAGGUGCCAGAGACCGGAGACCCCCACUGUACCUGGAGCUCUCUACUGAUGUGUGAAGUUCAUGUGACAAUGAAGACCCUUGAGCUUUCAACCAUGAAGAAAUACCAGAAUGGCAAAGCUGCAAGAAAAAAGCCCAAACACCAUUCACCAUUCUGUUGAAGGGGAGGAUGGAGUGGUGAUCUACAAUGUUGACAAACUCAGAUCAGUAAACUUCCUUUGGAUGUGUAGUCCUCUGAUAACACUACACACAAAAAUGCAUUAUAUAAAGGAGAACUGUCUGGCCAGGAAGACCCUGCCUCCUGUGGGAAUUUCUAUGUAAUGACGGCUUGAAUUGGGAGGGCAUGGUGCCGUCUUUUUAAUGAGGCCAGACGUCCGCUCUGGUUGCUCAGCAGGCCAAAUGUACUGUUGCAAUGGCUGUGUGCACUUCUAAUAUUGUAGCAUUAAAAAUGGCAGCAUAAA